This is a long non-coding RNA of Gasterosteus aculeatus aculeatus (three-spined stickleback), 9452 nucleotides long. The record is from Ensembl. NCBI's taxonomy places the organism in Eukaryota, Metazoa, Chordata, Actinopteri, Perciformes, Gasterosteidae.
UAAGUACGAGAGAGCGCCGAAACAGCGCACACUGAAAAACUUUAAUGGGUUUUAUUUCAAGCAUUUGCGGCGGAAGAGCCAUCAAAAUUGUGCCCAGCGACAUGGAGCCACUCAUCGUCACUAAUCCCCGCCGGCGUUGCUAGUUUAUCUGCGUGGCUCAGCUGCUCGCGAGGGCGAGCACGGACGCCAUUUUGUGCCUAAAGUGCUAAAUGACAUCACAGUCCAUGUUAACCUUCAGGAGGCAUCGUACACUUAAAGGGAGGCUGAAUUUGCACGAGGGGAGAUUUAUUGUCUCUCGGCAAAUGGGCCGCAGUGCAAAACAAAGGCCGUUCGGCGGCGGCGGCGGCGUGGUCCCAUCUUUGGCUUCCCGUCAAGAGUCGGCAUCUGAAAUCGGGACGAUUCAUCACGUUGGCACGUGAAGAAUUAUGGAAGUCACCCCGAAGGAAAUGAAUCCGCGGCGUGGACGGCGGUCUGACAAAGGCGUCGGGAAGUCAGCGGUGAACGCAGGCCAGCGUGGUGGCAAAGCCGAGGGGGGAGAGUGGGGGGGGGGGGACCCGCCAAUUAUCAGGCUCGCCAUCUGAGGGCUAUUUCACUGCACGUUGAAAUAUUAAACCAAGCGCACACAUUGAAGCGCUCAGCGGAUUGUCCAAAGCAGCGCUGCUGAAGCGGGAGACAAUUAUCCACAUUUCUCCAUUAAUUACUGCGAGAGAGAAUUAUCUGCGUCGAUAUAGUGUGAACUUUUAUUUGUGUACACCUUCGGUCAGAGUGCAUUCUUUAAUUAUAAUAUAUAUAUAUGUGGGCAGACUUAAUGCAUUAACAUGCAUUAAUAUGUUUUUAUCAUCAGUGUAAUUCAGCUGAAUCACAUAAUCAUGUGGAGUUUUUACAAAUAAUUACUGGAACUGGAGUCCAAUAAAGUAGCAGGUUAGUUAAAUAUGAAUUAUUUUCAUGUGCAUCCACAGAUGUCAUGUUUCCAAGUGCAAUAAAACAGUACUUUUAUGUAUAUAUACAUACCAUAUAUUUUACUAAUAAGUGAUUCAACAAAGGCUUUAAGUCUUUGAAGAACUUCCAGGCUGUUUAAAAGGAUUUCCACUUUCUAAAUGUUUUUUUGACACAUGUGAAAAUGUGCAGUAUGAGUGAUUAUCUUUGCACGUUUUAGCAUGUUUGUUAUACUUGGUUGAAUCUCAGUUACACGAAAGUGAAAACCAUUACAAAUAACGCGCCGUGUUUACUAUAUUCUGCCUGUUUAUUGGUGCAUCGUUUCGCGGCUUAAGUGGAAUUCACAUUUAUGAAACAAUUUGAAACAAAAGCCUUUUGGUAUAAAUGCAUUUCCAUUAUUCCCGUCCAUGUGUGUUUUUCAUUCCCCUGCCCUGAUAACACAGCGUCGACAUUCACAAAGAGAACUCGUAUGCUAAUCCCGCUCCCCUCCGGUGGAUGAGCGGUAUGAUCACCAUAUUGGCAUGUGAAAAUAAUAUAGAUUGGGAACGUGAGAGGGAGACCAAGUGGAAAAUGAGAUGAUUGCUAAAGUAUGUUCUGCCCGAUGAACUGAAAUUGCAUUUGUCUAAGUGCUUGCAGCAGCCGGUCCGUAUAAACGUCUUGAUGUCGGAACUCUUUAAGGUGGACGUUGACGGGCGUUAUCCCCCAGGAGUGAAUGUAUUGUCAUGACGCACAUUCUCAUAGUCAGGUCUUUUUGUCCACCGUGUGCAGCUUAUUCCGCUCAUUCACUGCGUUUCCCAGCAGGCCUGAAGGCCCAGCGUGCACUGAGUGCCGCCUCGUGUUCCUGGUCUUUCAGGGCAGUCGGGGGGUUAAAAACAUUAAGUAAGAUAUUUACAGCUCAGCUGACCACUCGCUGUGGACAAUUUGCCCCCCCGUCCCCCCAAAGGACGUCAGGUCUCCUUCCUUCACAAAGCGAGUUCGCAGACGGACGGACAAACACUUUUUGGUCUUUUUGUGGAAUUUGUUGCUGAUAAGAAAAAGUUACUUCAGUGAGACGAUCCUUUUUAUUUAAAGGGGGACAACGACCGUAUUGUCUUUAAUGUCCUCAUUAGGACAUUCACGAAGACGUCUUUUUGGACACGUUGAUAUAUUCCCUGCACAGACGUAAUUGCAUUUGAUGGAAACGUGUUUCUAUGGAUCAUUAAAGAGGCAGAAGUUCCACUCUUCACAUUGUACAUAUCAGAAGCUAAUAUUUAGCCAACUCUGGUGCCUAAUUACAUCAUUGGCAGUUUCUUUCUACCGCAUAUAACCGAGACGGGACGCGGCGCUGUGACUGACGGCAGCUUUGUGGUCACACGCACGAGACGUAACGUGUCAUUUCCAAACAAACAGCGGCUUCUCUUACAGGUUUGGAUGCAGCUCAGCUCAGGUCGAGCCCCCCCGUACAACACCGGGGUGGUUAAAAACACACAACAGCGCCUUUUGUUCUGCGACUUCCUGCCCGGGCAAACACGCUCGGGGUUCAGGCUGCUGUUUUCGUUUAGCCGUUGCUCCUGGGGCAGUUUGUUCCCCCAGAUUUCAUCGGCCAUACGCUGCGAGAUGAUUUUGUGAAUGAAACCAUGCAUAUCCUCGCGGCCUUUAUGAUGGUAAUGAGUAGCAGCGGAGGAACAAUGGAGGGAGAAUGCUGGGAUUCAAUGGUGAUGCUUGUGGGGAAUGAAAGGAGGUGUGUGUGUCACUGAUGGGUGAAAACCUCCAAAAUGUCAAACAACAGCUUUCCCUUUGGCACGCCGGUGAAUCUCUUUGGACUUUAUCUUUCACUGUUGUCAUUAACCGCCAAUAAAGGAGGUUGUCAAUUGAUACACUUUUGGAAAAGUGAGGAAUGUAUGUUAAUAAAACGUGGUGUAAGUGUGUGCAAGCGUGCAGAUUUGUUUGUGCAUCUGCAUGUGUGCGUCAGAGUUCAGAGGUCAUCAUCAGGUCCCCCCCAUUCUCCUGUAACACCCCCUUAAUGCCCAUCUGCCAAAGCAAACCUUCCUUCCUCCAUGGCGCGUACCACGUCUCCCAGUGCACAGCAGAAGAUGUAACAACACACAACACGUCUGGCACCGGUCCCCUUCGCCAUGGCAACGGCAAGCAAGGAGAAAUGUCCUCACAGUGCCGGGUAGAGCCAGACAGGGAGAUGGAUGCUGGGAGUUGGCAGGAAAUCAAGAAUGAAAAACGUUCCGGCCGCCCGCCCCCCCCCUAACAAACAGCUCUGACAAUUAGGAUGAAAAAUAAGCCUGCUGUCAAACGGGGGGACAAGGGGGGGGGGGGUCGACUGUCCUCAGCCGUGGCCCGGACCGGCCCGACCUCCUCACAUCACUUCUUUAAAUGAAUCCCGGUCGCUCCAGAGGAAAGGAGGGCGCGGCGAGGCGGAGUAACCCUGGGGUACAGGAAGCCUUUCACUUUGCUCGUCCAAACAUUAUUUUACAUUUGAGGAAAGGUAGUUUGGAAGAAACUCAAGGGAAGAAUAUCAGCAGUGUGAAAAGGACAAGGACGUCCCAUAAACGCCCCCACUGCGUGAUUGACAGGUGGUGGCUGGCACAAGCAGUGCUCAAACACCACGGCGAGAAAGAGGGAAUAUCAAUCAUAACCCACAUUAACGGAUCUGAUUCUCCUUCGUUAUAUAUUGAGUAUCUUUGGCUCUUGACUAAACGAAUCCUUGAUUAAUCAUCAGAAUAAAUGACAACUGACCACAGCAGCUCGCGUGCGUGUGUGUGUGUGUGUGAAUGGAUUUUUUAAGAAGUGCAGAAGUAAAAGUGUUUCUCUCGAUAUGAAAGUGUACGAUCGAGACAUCUGGCAGAGCUCCUUCCAGCAGACGGCUUUCCCCCUGUGACACCGAGGGAGGGGGGCGCCGCUUUAAUCGUUAUGUGAUUGCUUGAGCAUGUUACAGCAUGUAAGUGCACAGACACGGACCACACUGGCAGAAAGGCGCACACACACACAGACCGGUAUGCACACACACACACACGCAUGCUUGCAGGUGUUCACGCAUGUACUGUAUGUGAAGGCUUGUGCAUGUGGCGGAAAGUUUCAACAGCUCUCACUGACUGAUUAGACUGAUUUCACCACGUCAAGGAUUAGCCGUUCACCAAGAUGUAGAUCCAGCUACUACGAGCAUGUGGUGGCGAUGGAGUUCACACCAACGUAUUAUUACUAAAAUAUACACCAAACAUAAGCCACUGAGUGUAGAAUCUGUGCCUCGAUGUGUGUGUGUGUGUGCAGCGUCGGUAUCAGCGGAGGGCUGAAAGAGGGCUUUGCUAAUCCCUCACAGUAGGUCAACCACUCAAGGAACUGCUACCAUUAUCGGCUUUAGCUUCAUUUUACUAAAUUGCCACAUCCCUGUUGUGUGUUAAUGGGCUAAUUUCUACCGACACUGAGCAAAGGAUACAAUCAAUGAUAUGGUUUUAUAAGGAGGCUUAAUCAGAUAACAACUUUGUUCUAGCCGGUAAUUAGAAACAGGAGUCAAGCUGGAAGAGGAGAGCAGACCUUUCUCAGCCUGUGCCCCGGUGCACCGUGGGAAUGCAGGUCGGAGGUCAAUUUCAAAAUUAGUUAAGCUUGACGGGCUGCCGCUGACCUGCACAGGUGCUCCCACUUCCCCUGCUGCUCUGCACUUCCUCCCGCCACCCCGGGGGUCACAGACGUCGGGGCCCCGGCCUCCCUGCCCUCCCCCGUCCUCACCCCCCUUCACCUCGCUCCCCACGACUAGUUUGGAUCUAUUAGCAGAACCAGGAUAAACCCCCGGGCCUGCUGAGAAGGCCAAAGACCACAUCGGGCCAACGCUUACUCAGGCCCAGCAGAAGACCACAUCGGGCCAACGCUAAGCUUACACAGGCCCAGCAGAAGACCACAUCGGGCUAACGCUAAGCUUACGCAGGCCCAGCAGAAGACCACAUCGGGCUAACGCUAAGCUUACACAGGCCCAGCAGAAGACCACAUCGGGCUAACGCUAAGCUUACGCAGGCCCAGCAGAAGACCACAUCGGGCUAACGCUAAGCUUACGCAGGCCCAGCAGAAGACCACAUCGGGCUAACGCUAAGCUUACGCAGGCCCAGCAGAAGACCACAUCGGACUAACGCUAAGCUUACGCAGGCCCAGCAGAAGACCACAUCGGACUAACGCUAAGCUUACGGAGGCCCAGCAGAAGACCACAUCGGGCUAACGCUAAGCUUACGGAGGCCCAGCAGAAGACCACAUAGCUCACUGAAGUCACGCAAUCCUCUCCUGUAGGAUCUCAGACGUGAAAUAUCAACUUUAAGAGUUCAAUCUGCUUCCACACACAAACAUGGAAACAAACUCCCCUCCCUCGCUUCCCUUCACCUCGUCUCGGUUCGCCGUCUGUACGCUCAGUAUGUUUUUGGAAAAGGAAAGGGGGGGGGGCGGUUGUUAUUGGCGCGUCCUACCGAGAGAAGAGAAGCUAUACGGCCGUUGUUUUUGAGCCCCGCUGCGGUGUGGCCUCCUGCUGCUUGGCCUGCCAUGUGUAAUUAAACAUUUGGCCUCCACAAUUACUCAGCAGUGUACACUUGCCCGUGUCGGGCUCUGCAGAAUAUGCAUUUCAAAGAGCAUCGAUUCCCUCCAAAGUGCUGAAACUGACAGAAGCAAGGGGAGAACCUUUGUGGUGGGGCAGGGGGAGUAGAGGGAGGAACGAGGAGGAAGGGGAGGGUGAGAUCUGGCUGGUCCGCAGGGAUGGACUGAUUAGAAAAUAAAUGAAGCUUGAAGUACACUGUGUGGCAGGUACGGGCAACAGCAUGCAGACAACCUCCGUCUGUCCCCUUUGAUUCAUGGAAGAAUAGAAAUGUGUCACGUCCGAAUGCCACUUUUCCAGCAUUGAUUUUUCUUACUUAUGUAGGAACAAACACGCCUGUAAAGCUUCACAGCAGCACCACACAGGGAGACGAGCUGCCCAUAUGGAUUACAUGACUUAUUAGGAUUCCGGCGUCUGUUGAUGUCACUGCAGCCACAUGGCCCAGGUGGGAACCCCGAAGCAGUGGAACAUCUCAACAUCACGACCAUCUUGGUGCCGCCUCCGGCCUUCUGUUUACCUGCCUGACAGUAAUGAAAUUCACCCACAUCGGCUCACAAUUUAUGCAGGUACAUGCAUUAACAUUUGACAUUGCCUGUGCACGGGUGAAAAGGUUCUAGGUUGUAACCUGCCACUAAGGGAAAUAAAUAAAUAGCAGAAAACAAUCAAAGAGCCACUUUGUGUGGAAUGAAACUUUGCUGUGGACUACAAGACAUUAAGUUCAACAACCAGAAAGCAACUCUUUUGGAUUCUGUUUUCAGAAAAUAUUUUUAAACCUGACCUUCAGGAACAUUGACAGUGCCGUCACACGCCCUCCACCCGGUUGUAACCGAGUAGGAGCCUCCCGGAGACACCAAAGCUGGCGCUGAAAUGACAAACCAGCAGCUCAGGCACGCAGACACACACACGACACCCGCUGCAGGCACCGGGUCGUCACUCGAGGAGCAUCCGGCUGUCACUCAGACUCCCUGAGACUCCCCUUUCCUUCCCCUCCGGUGUGCCAAGACAUCUGCCACGUUUCUCUUAUUGAUAUGUUGUUUUUUUUAGUCUCAAGUCAGUGCAAUAAGGCGAGAAGCCGGGGACCAACGGAGCGAGAAGCAAGGUAGGGCUGUGUGUGUGUGUGUGUGUGUCUGUGUGUGUGUGUGUGUGUGCGCGAGACUAAAACUAAGCUGCACACUCCCAAAAAAAACAAAAAUAAACCCGGCACACAAACACUCGUCCUCUGGAGCUCCCCGAGAACAAUGUGGAUUUUAAGAGAGCGCUGAAAGGUAGCAGCACAUCACGGAGGCGCUGGCGGCACCACCUGCCUGUGAGGCCCCGGCGUCCCCUCGUGAGCCAUAGAGGUGCCUGUGUCCAUGUCCCCCUAUUGUGGCGUGGACUGGAGGGGGUAUUGUGAACCUUGUCAACGGCGCUGCCAUCUCUGUGCCAGCUGGCCGGGUGUGAGUGGCGAAAGGGGCGUGGGAGGGAAGGGGGGGGGGGGGGGGGGAGGCGAACAAUGCAGAGAGCUGUGCACAAUGGCCGGCCGUGGCCCGCGGAAAGGCGGCAUUGUUCCCGCCCGCGAUCGGUCAUGCCGGCGGACUCGCCGACCACGACUCACGAGCAGCAGCGCCCUGCAGAGGGAGGACGUUUUACCCAGAAGCACCGGUUCGUACUGGAGACGUCGGUGCGUAAGGUGCCGCCGCAUUUUCUCCCACAUGUGGUACAUCACACACACACACACACACACACACACAAAGACACCCCCUUCGCCCCGCAGCCUGAGCGAGCUCCAAUGUCCCUCUUUUGAAAUCAAAGAGUGAAGGGGAGGGAGGGGCGGCUUCGAGGCAACGUCUGGAAUCCAUCUGAGAUUGAGAAAUCCAACCGCCGUGGUUGGAUCCAAUUGAAUGAGGCAGGCCUGAGUAACGCGCUCCGACACGGCCUUUCUCUCCCUCCAACACCCCGGCCAUGUGGUCCCGGGGCUCUGCCAGCCAAGCAUGUCACAGCCCAUCACAGUUGUAAAUGAAUAUUCAUGCGGCGGAGGGCGCCUGUGUGCGAAGUACUUAUGUGUGGGGCCGUUUUUUUAGUGCGACGAAGAUGGAAAAAAAAAAAAAAAGUGUGCGUACAGCGAGUUUGCCCCCCCCCCCCCCCUGUUCCUCGUCCACACCCCCGGGCACCGCGGCUUUUGCAGGGCGUAAGUAAGACUCGGCGUUGGCUGGGAGGCGAGGUCUCACGCGCGGCCUGGAUGCAGAAACGCGCGCGCGGGCCGCCAGCACUCCACAGAUGUCCUGGCUGUUGCUGGAUGUGAGGCGGCGCGGGCCGAGCUCCCUUCCAUGGCGAGCGCUGGCGCGAGGUUUGAGCGGGUGUGAGGAUCGGGGGGGAUGGGGGAAGAAAUUCAACAAAAAAAAAAGGCAAGUGCAAAGUCGCGCGAGGCUCCCAGGAUACCCGCGUGGCCAGAUCGGCCCCUGACCUCUCAAACGACAGCAGGACCGGGAGAGGGACGCGCCGCGAAGACGCGUCGGUCGCAGUGUGGGACUUGUUCUCGCCCCAAAAAAAACAAAAGCACCAGCGACUCUGACGCCGCCGAGCUAGCUGUUCCCACGGCGACUACGAUUAGCAUUGCGCGUGGCAUCGAGCGUGAUCGCGGCGCGUGAUAUUUGCCACAGGCCGGAGUCGCGCGUUUCACCACGUGGAAGUUCAGCUGUAGAAGAACUUCUCAGAACUUCUAAAACAAUGCCUGAAGAGAAGCCUCAGAUGACAUAAAUGCAUCUCAGCGAGGAUUGUCCUCACCCUCUAGUCUCUUUACUGCGCUUUAGGAGGCAUACACUACUAAGAUAAUGAUGCUUAUGACAAUAGAGUAAUUGCCCAUGGCAUUCUCUCUUGGGCAAUUGAUUUUUGAUGAGCUAUGCAGGAUUCACUUGUGUAGAUAUGCAGGUCAGCAGUUCUUAAAAGGACAUUUUAGAGCCUUUUCCCUUUUCUUGUUUUGGACGUUUCAGUGAUCCGCCAACAGGUGUUCUCACUUAUUCUGGCUGAUGAGAGCCGACUUGCUCAAUGUUGUGUUGGAGAUAAGAGAACUUCCACCUUCCUCGCUGCUUAUUCUGACCUCAGGCCACAGCUUUUGUUGCAAGAAAACAAAAUAGCUUGAGCACCGAAAGCAAUGUGUACCAAUUUAGACCCUUGAACGCGUAUUUAAGGUAGUUGAAUUAGUGAAAAUAAAGGCUUUUAAAGCCUCGGUCAGAAGGGAGGUUUGAUCUCGAUAAGCUGCGUCGUGCGGACUCUCAGCGAAUGGAAGCUUACAGGCAUUCAGUACCUUGAUGUGCUGGUUAUACCUCAGAUAAAAUGCAGUAAGUAUGUGAGAGACGCGGCUUGGAGUCUUUUCCUUAUUUGAGAGGCAACGAUAAAAACGAGUUGAAUUAAGACGAUUUUACGCAGAGCAAACAUAAUAUUUUCAUCUAACCGGAGGCCUCGUAGAAUGAAAUGAACGCUGUCGGUAUUCUAGAUGCCAACUCAAAUCAUCAGAUUUGAUGGUUAUAUCCAUACAGACGGAUAUUUUGGUUAUCAAGCCAUUAGCUUAUAGAGCUUAUAAAAAAAAAAAAAUGAAAAGACCUGUGAUUGGGGACUUUUAUGUUGCUGUCAUCAGAGCCGUUGCCCUGGUUACAAGGCGCUCGGCAGAGGGUGAGCAGGAGGACUGACGAGCCGGGUCUACAGGUGUCAGUGUGAUUAAUUGUACCAGGGAGGAGAAUUAGCAGUCUGCUAAUCAGGUCGACCAAACGAGGAGCGGAAACUCAGUUUUUAAAAGUGUUUAAAAGUUUUUCUUACAAUCACAGCCCGCUGCAGCCGCAGAGGGAAGCGCGUUAAUAGCUCGUAAGUCCGUCCCCGAGGAGCAGAUCCUCCCCCGGGGGGGGCGCUCUGUGUUUGGAGAGUGCCAGCUCACAUUUUGCAGUAUAUCUCCGUCAAUGCGUGACUCCCGACGAGAGCCCAGUCC